GACGAACGCUGGCGGCGUGCCUAAUACAUGCAAGUAGAACGCUGAAGGAGGAGCUUGCUCUUCUGGAUGAGUUGCGAACGGGUGAGUAACGCGUAGGUAACCUGCCUGGUAGCGGGGGAUAACUAUUGGAAACGAUAGCUAAUACCGCAUAACAUUGACUAUUGCAUGAUAGUCAAUUAAAAGGUGCAAAUGCACCACUACCAGAUGGACCUGCGUUGUAUUAGCUAGUUGGUGGGGUAACGGCUCACCAAGGCGACGAUACAUAGCCGACCUGAGAGGGUGAUCGGCCACACUGGGACUGAGACACGGCCCAGACUCCUACGGGAGGCAGCAGUAGGGAAUCUUCGGCAAUGGACGGAAGUCUGACCGAGCAACGCCGCGUGAGUGAAGAAGGGUGUCGGAUCGUAAAGCUCUGUUGUAAGAGAAGAACGAGUGUGAGAGUGGAAAGUUCACACUGUGACGGUAUCUGACCAGAAAGGGACGGCUAACUACGUG
RNAcentral lists this ribosomal RNA (495 nucleotides) under uncultured bacterium. Its description in RNAcentral is "partial 16S ribosomal RNA". It matches the Rfam family "Bacterial small subunit ribosomal RNA", at positions 28 to 507 of the family's 1533-position model. The record is from RNAcentral.